UACGUAGGGGGCAAGCGUUGUUCGGAAUGACUGGGCGUAAAGGGUGCGUAGGCGGUGUAGCAAGUUAGAAGUGAAAUACCUAGAGCUUAACUCAGGUGCUGCUUCUAAAACUGCUAUACUUGAGUGCAGUAGAGGAAAGUGGAAUUCCUAGUGUAGCGGUGGAAUGCGUAGAUAUUAGGAGGAACAUCAGUGGCGAAGGCGACUUUCUGGACUGUAACUGACGCUGAGGCACGAAAGUGCGGGGAGCAAACAGG
RNAcentral lists this ribosomal RNA (254 nucleotides) under uncultured bacterium. Its description in RNAcentral is "partial 16S ribosomal RNA". It matches the Rfam family "Bacterial small subunit ribosomal RNA", at positions 524 to 776 of the family's 1533-position model. The record is from RNAcentral.